GGAACAGUAGUUCAGCGGGGAGAAUAUGGGGCUCUCACCCCCAAGGUCGGUGGUUCAACUCCAUCUUGUUUCU
Molecule: transfer RNA, 73 nt
Organism: Naegleria gruberi
Lineage: Eukaryota; Heterolobosea; Eutetramitea; Acrasida; Naegleriidae
Rfam family: tRNA
About the family: Transfer RNA (tRNA) molecules are approximately 80 nucleotides in length. Their secondary structure includes four short double-helical elements and three loops (D, anti-codon, and T loops). Further hydrogen bonds mediate the characteristic L-shaped molecular structure. tRNAs have two regions of fundamental functional importance: the anti-codon, which is responsible for specific mRNA codon recognition, and the 3' end, to which the tRNAs corresponding amino acid is attached (by aminoacyl-tRNA synthetases). tRNAs cope with the degeneracy of the genetic code in two manners: having more than one tRNA (with a specific anti-codon) for a particular amino acid; and 'wobble' base-pairing, i.e. permitting non-standard base-pairing at the 3rd anti-codon position.
Source: Rfam